Molecule: long non-coding RNA, 1679 nt
Organism: Sinocyclocheilus anshuiensis
Lineage: Eukaryota; Metazoa; Chordata; Actinopteri; Cypriniformes; Cyprinidae
Source: Ensembl
UGUGAAUAAUAACUUUCUUCCAAGUUGUAAAGUGUGGCAAACUUUUAUUUAUUUUUUUGUAGGUAGUAAAAUAUCCGUGCACAAAACCACACAGCAGUGGUCUUCGGAGGAAACCAGCGCACUGCUUGAGAUAUGGUCUUCCACAGACAUCCAGGAGAGAUUGGGGAGCUCAAAAAGAAAGAAGAGAGUGUAUGACGAUAUAUGCCAAGAGAUGGUAAAUGCUGGGUUUACUCGUACAACCGACCAAAUCAUUAACAAACUAAAAAAACGUAAGAAGGAGUUCAUUAACAAAAAGAAGGAGAAAAGUAAAAGCGGCAGCCAAUGGAGCAAUAAAACAACUAACUAUGAUGUUAUGGACACUGUGCUGGAACGCCUGCCAGGGAGUCAAUUUACUGAAGCAUUAAAUUCAGCAACAGCCAUGCUUGAGACAAAUGUGGAAUCGCUGUCUUCUGCAGCUGAUCUUGACUCUUCACUUGAGGAGGUGCUGGACCAAGCUGAACCAUCCUUCAGCUCUUCUCAAUUCCAACCAAGAAAGUCUCUGCAAACAACCAGAAUAAAGAAGAGAGAUUCAAACCAGGAGCUGCUGGAAUACUUGAAAACUGCUGAUGAACGGUUUAUGGCACACGCCAAAGAACUUAAUACUGCAAUUCUUAAUAAAAUGGAUGAAGCUACGAAUUCUAUGCUGGGACUAUUGGGACGCAUGGUGGCGCUAAUGGAGGAACAGCAGGGAAUCAAACCAUGAACACAGGAUUCUUUUUGUGCAUUUUAUUCUCAUUUGCAUACUACUUACAUUUCAAAGUCAAAGCAAACCAAAAUUGAUCCUUAAGUUACUUUCUUAAUAUACAUUCCAGGUCUUAUUUGGAAUUAUUGUUUUGUACACGUUAUUACAGCAAAACUUUUAUUAAUCUGUCAUCAAAAUGUAAUAACUUGCUCUUCCCAUGAAAUUACUUUUUAUGCUUGACAACAUCAACUCCUCCCCUCCAAACACCUGUCAUAUAGAGAGCAUGACCAGCUUCACAUUGAAAAGGUGUAGCAAACCCAGAUGUGUUUGACAGGAGUGAAGGUAAAGUUAGAGGCUUCUAACUUCUACCUACAUCACAUUAACCGUGAAUAAGCUGUUUUCGUGUUUGUUGUAUUUGAUUUUAAUUUGCGUGUGGUGAAAUUUCAGUGAUUCAGGUUAAACUAUUCAGACACUUUUGAGGCCGACCUCAAACUCCCUUCAUGACUUUGAUUAAAAGGCCACAGUUGGAAGACAGCACCGUUGACGUCGAUGUCAACGAGCGUUCUUCAUGCACCAUAAAGGACCCAACAGAUUUCACAGACAUACUUGAUGUCAGUCAAGAAGAAGAAGUAUAAAUCACUUAUAUACAUUCUAGCAGACAUAGCCUGAAAAAUUACUGUAGUACUGGUUGAGUCAAUUCCCUCUUUCCUUUUUCCCUUCCUAAAAUGUGUACUGAUAGAUUGUUCCUUGCUGGUCUUUGCCACAAUGAAAAAGUGUUAGUAACAUGGCCAGAGUCCUAAAAGGAGGAAUUUUCCCUUCUCUACAUAAAAACAGCAUCAACAUACAGUAUUUUGGAUAAUGGAAUUUUCUUUGCAGAAUCGUAUUUUGUUACAAAUGCUGUUAACUUUAAACAAUUGUUACAUUUGUCUACUUGUUGUGUGUUGUUACUUUAUUCCUA